Molecule: ribosomal RNA, 253 nt
Filed under: uncultured bacterium
Lineage: Bacteria
Description: partial 16S ribosomal RNA
Rfam family: Bacterial small subunit ribosomal RNA
Source: RNAcentral
UACGAAGGGGGCUAGCGUUGCUCGGAAUCACUGGGCGUAAAGCGCACGUAGGCGGUUUGCUAAGUCAGGGGUGAAAUCCUGGAGCUCAACUCCAGAACUGCCUUUGAUACUGGCGGCCUUGAGUCCGGGAGAGGUGAGUGGAACUGCGAGUGUAGAGGUGAAAUUCGUAGAUAUUCGCAAGAACACCAGUGGCGAAGGCGGCUCACUGGCCCGGUACUGACGCUGAGGUGCGAAAGCGUGGGGAGCAAACAGG